RNAcentral lists this ribosomal RNA (433 nucleotides) under uncultured bacterium. RNAcentral's name for it is "partial 16S ribosomal RNA". It matches the Rfam family "Bacterial small subunit ribosomal RNA", at positions 29 to 507 of the family's 1533-position model. The record is from RNAcentral.
AACGAACGCUGGCGGCAUGCCUAACACAUGCAAGUCGAACGAGACCUUCGGGUCUAGUGGCGCACGGGUGCGUAACGCGUGGGAACCUGCCUUUAGGUUCGGAAUAACUCAGUGAAAUUUGAGCUAAUACCGGAUGAUGUCUUCGGACCAAAGAUUUAUCGCCCUUAGAUGGGCCCGCGUUGGAUUAGCUAGUUGGUAGGGUAAAGGCCUACCAAGGCGACGAUCCAUAGCUGGUCUGAGAGGAUGAUCAGCCACACUGGGACUGAGACACGGCCCAGACUCCUACGGGAGGCAGCAGUGGGGAAUAUUGGACUAUGGGCGAAAGCAUGAUCCAGUAAUGCCGCGUGAGUGAUGAAGGCCUUAGGGUUGUAAAGCUCUUUUACCCGAGAUGAUAAUGACAGUACCGGGAGAAUAAGCUCCGGCUAACUCCGUG